Molecule: unclassified non-coding RNA, 1888 nt
Filed under: Homo sapiens (human)
Lineage: Eukaryota; Metazoa; Chordata; Mammalia; Primates; Hominidae
Description: BCL2-like 12 (proline rich), transcript variant 32
Source: RNAcentral
AUGGGACGGCCCGCUGGGCUGUUCCCGCCCCUAUGCCCUUUUUUGGGUUUCCGGCCAGAGGCAUGCUGGGAGCGUCACAUGCAAAUUGAGCGUGCACCCAGCGUUCCGCCCUUUCUACGCUGGGCCGGUUAUCGACCCGGCCCAGUGCGCAGGCGCGGGAAAGUUGAACUAAUAAAGUUUGUACGAGUUCAGUGGAGGAGACCGCAAGUUGAGUGGAGGAGGCGGCGGUGGGGCCCCGGACCAGGUCAGCGGGGUGUUGACGAGGGGUGGGGUGAGGAGGGAAGAGGAGGGGGCCGGGAUCCAGUGGUGGGCACCCCAGUCCCGCUUCUCUGAUAUCCAAGGGUCCAGGGUCCUCUAGAUUCCAGCAGGGGUCGGAGAUUUGGAACUACACCUCACAGCAGGCUGCGCGGCGAAGAAGCGCGGACCUAGGGGAAGAUUUGCCCUGAAACCUCUUGGGAUUGGUAGUUCCCGAUGCUUUAAGGGUUUCAGGAGUUUGGCAUAUGCCUCUUAUAGAAUCCAGGAGUUGGGGCGCUAAGCCUCUUCUUCCUGGGAGACCUAAGGGUCUGGGGCUCCAGUUCCUUUUUCUCUAAGACUCAGAAGUCCAGGACCCCAGCUCCCUCCUCCUUUAGACCCACGAAUCUGGGCACCCAGCCCCACCACCUUUCCUUGGAUCGAAGAGUCUUUUUCCUGAUCGCUUUUUCGUCUGAGGACUCAAGAGUCUAGGCCCCCAGACCCACACUCUCCAAAGGACCCAGGAGUCCAGGCCCUCAGCACCUUCCUUGGGACUCACAAGUCCUGGUCCCCAAGCCUCCACUUCUUGCUAAACCCUUGGAGUCCAGUCCCUAACCCUCUCUCUCACAGGUGCCUCCAUGGCAGGCUCUGAAGAGCUGGGGCUCCGGGAAGACACGCUGAGGGUCCUAGCUGCCUUCCUUAGGCGUGGUGAGGCUGCCGGGUCUCCUGUUCCAACUCCACCUAGAAGCCCUGCCCAAGAAGAGCCAACAGACUUCCUGAGCCGCCUUCGAAGAUGUCUUCCCUGCUCCCUGGGGCGAGGAGCAGCCCCCUCUGAGUCCCCUCGGCCUUGCUCUCUGCCCAUCCGCCCCUGCUAUGGUUUAGAGCCUGGUAAGAGAUUUCCAUGAUCAUCUAUGAAGCCGGCAGAACACGGGAUAAGGCCCAGCUACUCCAGACUUCUAUGCUUUGGUGGCCCAGCGGCUGGAACAGCUGGUCCAAGAGCAGCUGAAAUCUCCGCCCAGCCCAGAAUUACAGGGUCCCCCAUCGACAGAGAAGGAAGCCAUACUGCGGAGGCUGGUGGCCCUGCUGGAGGAGGAGGCAGAAGUCAUUAACCAGAAGGUGAUGGGCAUCUGUCCCACUCCUUGGCAAGGACAGGAGUUGCGGAAUGCUGGCCUCGGACCCCGCCCUGCGCAGCAAGCUGGUCCGCCUGUCCUCCGACUCUUUCGCCCGCCUGGUGGAGCUGUUCUGUAGCCGGGAUGACAGCUCUCGCCCAAGCCGAGCAUGCCCCGGGCCCCCGCCUCCUUCCCCGGAGCCCCUGGCCCGCCUGGCCCUAGCCAUGGAGCUGAGCCGGCGCGUGGCCGGGCUGGGGGGCACCCUGGCCGGACUCAGCGUGGAGCACGUGCACAGCUUCACGCCCUGGAUCCAGGCCCACGGGGGCUGGGAGGGCAUCCUGGCUGUUUCACCCGUGGACUUGAACUUGCCAUUGGACUGAGCUCUUUCUCAGAAGCUGCUACAAGAUGACACCUCAUGUCCCUGCCCUCUUCGUGUGCUUUUCCAAGUCUUCCUAUUCCACUCAGGGCUGUGGGGUGGUGGUUGCCCUACCUGUUUUUGCCAAAAAUAAAUUGUUUAAAACUUUUCUUAUUAAAAACGUUACAAAGUA